UGCAAGUCGAACGAAGCACUUUAUUUGAUUUCUUCGGAAUGAAGAUUUUGUGACUGAGUGGCGGACGGGUGAGUAACGCGUGGGUAACCUGCCUCAUACAGGGGGAUAACAGUUGGAAACGACUGCUAAUACCGCAUAAGCGCACAGGGUCGCAUGACCUGGUGUGAAAAACUCCGGUGGUAUGAGAUGGACCCGCGUCUGAUUAGCCAGUUGGUGGGGUAACGGCCUACCAAAGCAACGAUCAGUAGCCGACCUGAGAGGGUGACCGGCCACAUUGGGACUGAGACACGGCCCAAACUCCUACGGGAGGCAGCAGUGGGGAAUAUUGCACAAUGGGGGAAACCCUGAUGCAGCGACGCCGCGUGAGCGAAGAAGUAUUUCGGUAUGUAAAGCUCUAUCAGCAGGGAAGAAGAAAUGACGGUACCUGACUAAGAAGCACCGGCUAAAUACGUGCCAGCAGCCGCGGUAAUACGUAUGGUGCAAGCGUUAUCCGGAUUUACUGGGUGUAAAGGGAGCGCAGGCGGUACGGCAAGUCUGAUGUGAAAGCCCGGGGCUCAACCCCGGUACUGCAUUGGAAACUGUCGGACUAGAGUGUCGGAGGGGUAAGUGGAAUUCCUAGUGUAGCGGUGAAAUGCGUAGAUAUUAGGAGGAACACCAGUGGCGAAGGCGGCUUACUGGACGAUUACUGACGCUGAGGCUCGAAAGCGUGGGGAGCAAACAGGAUUAGAUACCCUGGUAGUCCACGCCG
RNAcentral lists this ribosomal RNA (748 nucleotides) under uncultured bacterium. RNAcentral describes it as "bacterial SSU rRNA". It matches the Rfam family "Bacterial small subunit ribosomal RNA", at positions 56 to 802 of the family's 1533-position model. The record is from RNAcentral.